CUUAAGUUAGCAAAAUAGUGCCUUCGACUUAGAAUCGAAUCAUAAGACCUCUCUUACUUAUGU
Molecule: transfer RNA, 63 nt
Filed under: Typosyllis sp. patternB
Lineage: Eukaryota; Metazoa; Annelida; Polychaeta; Phyllodocida; Syllidae
Description: tRNA-Leu
Source: RNAcentral